CCCUUAGAUGUCCGGGGCUGCACGCGCGCUACACUGAAGGAAUCAGCGUGCUAAAACCAUUGUCGAAAGGCAUUGGUAAACCCAUUAAAAUCCUACGUGAUUGGGAUCGGGAAUUGCAAUUAUUUCCCUUGAACGAGGAAUUCCCAGUAAGUGUGGGUCAUAAGCUCGCGUCGAUUACGUCCCUGCCCUUUGUACACACCGCCCGUCGCUGCCCGGGACUGAGCCGUUUCGAGAAAAGCGGGGACUGCUGCUGUCGGGGCUUUCGGGCCUUGGCUUCGGUGGAAACCGCUUUAAUCGCAGUGGCUUGAACCGGGCAAAAGUCGUAACA
This 328-nucleotide ribosomal RNA is filed under the name uncultured eukaryote. RNAcentral's name for it is "partial 18S ribosomal RNA". It matches the Rfam family "Eukaryotic small subunit ribosomal RNA", at positions 1470 to 1796 of the family's 1831-position model. The record is from RNAcentral.